Molecule: ribosomal RNA, 253 nt
Filed under: uncultured bacterium
Lineage: Bacteria
Description: partial 16S ribosomal RNA
Rfam family: Bacterial small subunit ribosomal RNA
Source: RNAcentral
UACGGAGGGUGCAAGCGUUGUCCGGAUUUAUUGGGUUUAAAGGGUGCGUAGGCGGCCCGUUAAUUCAGUGGUGAAAGCCUCCAGCUCAACUGGAGAACUGCCAUUGAUACUGACGGGCUUGAGUACAGACGAGGUUGGCGGAAUUGAUUGUGUAGCGGUGAAAUGCAUAGAUACAAUCAAGAACUCCGAUUGCGUAGGCAGCUAACUAGGCUGUAACUGACGCUGAGGCACGAAAGCGUGGGGAGCGAACAGG